GGAUCGUUAGCUCAGCAGCGAGAGCAUGCCGGCUCACAACCGGGUUGUCCAGGGUGCAAAUCCCUGACGGUCCA
RNAcentral lists this transfer RNA (74 nucleotides) under Caudoviricetes sp. RNAcentral's name for it is "tRNA-Val". It matches the Rfam family "tRNA". Rfam says of the family: Transfer RNA (tRNA) molecules are approximately 80 nucleotides in length. Their secondary structure includes four short double-helical elements and three loops (D, anti-codon, and T loops). Lineage: Duplodnaviria; Heunggongvirae; Uroviricota; Caudoviricetes. The record is from RNAcentral.